AGGGAGGAACUGAGUCUGUUCAACAAUAUAUCGAGAAUUCGCUGGAUUUUGAAGGAUCAAAAAAUGAUGUGAAAGGGUAUAUCAGUAAUAAGACUGAUGUGAAACCUUUCAGCUUUGACAAGAGGAAGUGUUCGCAAUUCUUCAUCACCAAUUCACUGUGGGACUCCAUGAAAGAAGAUUAAAUCUAACAAAGUUUCACCUUUCUAUGCAAUACACUUGAUUUACAUAAAGAAUUUAAAAAAAUUA
Molecule: long non-coding RNA, 246 nt
Organism: Ruditapes philippinarum (Manila clam)
Lineage: Eukaryota; Metazoa; Mollusca; Bivalvia; Venerida; Veneridae
Exons: 2
Source: RefSeq, a predicted model, not a curated record